GGAACACGGAGGAAGAAAUUAGAGUAAGAAUUUCAGGAGAAUUGGAGAGGAAGGCAAAGAUAAUUCAUUACAGUAGCAAAAAAAUGCAGGAUCAAUCGUGGACAACUUUUCUUUGUACAAUGGGCCAACUAGGAAAGAGAAGAACCAUAACUAGCUAGCAAUAAUUACGCAACAGUUAUAAUAGCAGCCUACACUAUCCCUUCAUAACAAAAUACAUAUUCCCUGACACCUGUCCCUCCUUCUGCUAUAAUUGUCUCUUGCUUAGCUUCAGAAAGGCAUCAUAUCUGCCUCCACUUCUACGAAACUGUUUGCUCACAAAUUC
This 322-nucleotide unclassified non-coding RNA is filed under the name Hevea brasiliensis (rubber tree). The record is from RNAcentral. Lineage: Eukaryota; Viridiplantae; Streptophyta; Magnoliopsida; Malpighiales; Euphorbiaceae.